GGUACGUCCAGGAAGCCAGAGAGAAUCAUGUCAAGAAGAAGGUCGAGGAAGCUCUGCGCAGCAAAAUGAAGCAAAAGGCACUCAAAGAAUGUGACCAGUACUCUGCAAAAUAUGCUGAAUGUGCUGUAGGAAAAACUAUAUCUGUUAUCUGGCAUUGUCGGCAACAAGCAAAAGAGUUGAACGAAUGCCUUCAUCAAUUUACUAGUGACAGUGUCUUGGAAGAAAUGAAGAAGAGCUACAUGCUUGAGGGAGGAAAACAGGGAUAGGAACAAGAUCUG
RNAcentral lists this unclassified non-coding RNA (278 nucleotides) under Hevea brasiliensis (rubber tree). Lineage: Eukaryota; Viridiplantae; Streptophyta; Magnoliopsida; Malpighiales; Euphorbiaceae. The record is from RNAcentral.